Molecule: ribosomal RNA, 397 nt
Filed under: uncultured bacterium
Lineage: Bacteria
Description: bacterial SSU rRNA
Rfam family: Bacterial small subunit ribosomal RNA
Source: RNAcentral
GCCCCGGCUAACUACGUGCCAGCAGCCGCGGUAAUACGUAGGGGGCAAGCGUUGUCCGGAUUUAUUGGGCGUAAAGGGUGCGUAGGCGGCCUUUUAAGUCAGAUGUGAAAGGUCACGGCUCAACCGUGGUAAGCAUUUGAAACUGAAAGGCUUGAGUUAAGGAGAGGAAAGUGGAAUUCCUAGUGUAGCGGUGAAAUGCGUAGAUAUUAGGAGGAAUACCAGUGGCGAAGGCGACUUUCUGGACUUAUACUGACGCUGAGGCACGAAAGCGUGGGGAGCGAACAGGAUUAGAUACCCUGGUAGUCCACGCCGUAAACGAUGAGUGCUAGGUGUUGGGGGUCAAACCUCGGUGCCGCAGCUAACGCAUUAAGCACUCCGCCUGGGGAGUACGUACGCA